This is a long non-coding RNA of Bos taurus (domestic cattle), 1363 nucleotides long. Lineage: Eukaryota; Metazoa; Chordata; Mammalia; Artiodactyla; Bovidae. The record is from Ensembl.
GAGACCCCAUGGACUACGCCCUACCAGGCUCCUCCGUCCAUGGGAUUUUCCAGGCAAGAGUACUGGAGUGGGGUGCUAUCACCUUCUCCUGGCCACAUCCAAAUCUAACACCUCCAACCUAUCCAUCGGAAAUCAUAGAUAUCCAAGGAUCUCAAGGCUGAAAUUUCAACCGGACGCCCAGGAUGAUGUCUGGUCAGGGUGAAGACAGUUCUCCAGCACCUGCAAAAGACCAAGGAGAGGCUUAGGAGCCAGCCUGGUGGAAACAAAUGCUCAGGGCCCCUGGGGUAUCUCGACUCACAACUGCAAGGAAGCCGGAGCCGGCGCUGCGACGCUGAGCGGACCAGCGGGGCCAUUCUGGCCGCUGGCUGUGGCCGACCUGGGAGAGAGGAAGGAAAUGUAUUUUCGGGACUCUCCCAGCCGGCGUUGGAAACGCGGCAGCAGAUUCUCAGCUCCAUUCCCGCGGCGGUCGGCUUCUCAGACUCACGCGGGAUCCUGGGUAGCGACCUCAGUGAAGGGAGCGCGGGCAUCUGAGCUUGGCGAUGCCACCGAGACACAGGCUUCGGACCGAGUUUUGACCCGCCUGUGCCUCUUCUUCCUUUUCUCUAGCCAGCGGCUACCGCUGCCCAGCUUCAUCCAAAGGGGGCACUCGGGGCUAGGCCGAGAACCCUAGAUAAGGUCCACUGUAACUAAGAACCCGGGGUUAAGUGGAGGCCAUCCCACUGGACUCCGCAGUCUUCCACUUCUAAGGAUGUUCCUGGCUAACCUCCCUCCUCUUUCUCUCUCACCUCUCCAUAGUAAGCAGAAGUGGCGCUCUUGUUGGCAAGGAUCGGAAUGGCGGAAGCUUGUGCCUUCUCUCUUUGCUCCGUUUCUCGCGUCUUCACACGGUUGUCUCACUCGGAGACUCCUAAAUUCUGCCUGGGGAACACUUUCCGCGUUAAUUACCUUGAAACAACACGUCUCUAAUUGAGCUAAUUAUUCUCGUGCCCUGCAACACGCCCCUCUCCCCCCCAAUAACACACACACACCCGGGCCAGGCCGGGUGGCACGGUGCCUGGGCACAGGGUAGAAACCGCAGCCCCAACACGCACGGAGCCUGGUGUUGGGAGUCCAGGGUUCCGCUGGGAGUAGCGCCCGGGUCUGCCUGCGGGCCCUUCUCCGAUUCAUCUGUGGCACCUCCACCGCCCAGGGAGUGGCUGGAGCUCUCACAGCUCCGGUGCAUGGGCCGCGUCUAUUGAAUAGAAUCGUGGCAUCUUUGAGUUUCCUCUCCCUUCUCCGACUUAACAGAGAGCUUCGCAAGUGGCCAGAGCAAGAAGUAGGAUAACUGGGAGAGAGCAAGGCUUGCUCCUCCACCCCUGCCCAUCCU